UACCCAUAUCAGAUGGUCGCUCCGUUGGGUAACCUUCGGGGAGGAAAGUCCGAACACUCGCUUGACGAAAGUUGGGCAGCAGGGUAGCGGGUAACGCCCGUCGAAAGUAAUUUCAGAGGUGCGAGCAGAGACGCUUCUAACGAAAGAAAGAAGCACCCCAUGUGGGUGAGCUCUUGUAGCAAUAUGAGAGGUGAAACGGCUAAAUCCUUACCUGGGUGCAAGGCCGUGUCGCGUGCAAGCGCGAAGUGCCGCUCGAGGGUGCGAGUAAUCGCAUUCCCAGAUAAAUGAUCAUCACCACUUCAGUGGGACAGAAUUCGGCUUAUCGAUAUGGAUACAUG
Molecule: RNase P RNA, 338 nt
Filed under: Patescibacteria group bacterium
Lineage: Bacteria
Also listed under: 1 other name
Description: RNase P RNA component class A
Rfam family: Bacterial RNase P class A
About the family: Ribonuclease P (RNase P) is a ubiquitous endoribonuclease, found in archaea, bacteria and eukarya as well as chloroplasts and mitochondria. Its best characterised activity is the generation of mature 5'-ends of tRNAs by cleaving the 5'-leader elements of precursor-tRNAs. Cellular RNase Ps are ribonucleoproteins.
Source: RNAcentral